UGUCUAUUAAUUGUAGACCAGUAUGAAAGGCAAAAUGAGGGUCCAACUGUCUCUUAUAAUCAAUCAAUUAAACUGAUCUCCUAGUAAAAAAGCUAGAAUCCCAACAUAAGACCAGAAGACCCUGUGAAGCUUAAACUAAACUAUUAAACCACAUAAUAACUACUUUCGGUUGGGGCGACCUUGGAAAAAAAAAGAACUUCCAAAUACAUGACUUUAACUCAUUCCCUCAGGCCCACAAGCCUCUAAAACGACCCAGCAUAGCUGAUAACUGAACCAAGUUACUCCAGGGAUAACAGCGCCAUCUUCUUCAAGAGUCCAUAUCAAAAAGAAGGUUUACGACCUCGAUGUUGGAUCAGGACAUCCUAAUGGUGUA
Molecule: ribosomal RNA, 373 nt
Filed under: Farancia abacura
Lineage: Eukaryota; Metazoa; Chordata; Lepidosauria; Squamata; Dipsadidae
Description: partial 16S ribosomal RNA
Rfam family: Bacterial large subunit ribosomal RNA
Source: RNAcentral